UGAAUUGCGAUAAGUAAUGUGAAUUGCAUCACCUGUGAAUCAUCAAAUUUUUGAACGCACCUUGCGCUUUUUGGGUCUACUGAAAAGCAUAUCUGUUUGAGUAUCAGAAAAUACUCCAAUAAAUAUGGUUUAUAUCAUUAUUUAUUUGGGAAUUGAGGUUCAUAUUAGUAUGUUCCUUUAAAUCAAGAUAAACAAGUACUUCUACUAACUACUUCUUAAAGUGCGGUAAGAAAAAGGUAGUUUUUCUCCCACUGAAAACAGUAAAUAGAUAGUUGUCUGAACUCUUGAUCUCAAAUCAGAUAGGAUCACCCGCUGAACUUAA
This 322-nucleotide unclassified non-coding RNA is filed under the name uncultured fungus. RNAcentral's name for it is "sequence contains ITS1". The stretch from base 1 to 106 matches the Rfam family "5.8S ribosomal RNA", at positions 49 to 154 of the family's 154-position model. The record is from RNAcentral. Lineage: Eukaryota; Fungi.